Long non-coding RNA from Acanthopagrus latus (yellowfin seabream), 683 nucleotides. RefSeq lists it as uncharacterized. The transcript is spliced from 5 exons. Lineage: Eukaryota; Metazoa; Chordata; Actinopteri; Spariformes; Sparidae. The record is from RefSeq and is a predicted model, not a curated record.
AAAACCUGUUAACCAUAUUUAGAAAGUUCCUCCCCCUAAAAACCACCAACGCGCUUGUCAAGAGCACUUAUAAAGGCUGAGUCUUCUCUUCCAAAUUCAACAAGCUCACCUGACAGCUCACGACAAACAACUGAAUCCUGUGUGACUCUCUGCCUGUCCAGACUUCAGCUGCAACAAUGUCGCAAAUCGGUAACGUCAAGGAUGUCAGUGCUUGCAGUAACGCAGGCAAAAUUGGUGCCGACAACACGUAUGAUGUACAAGGUGGUGCUGGAAAAAAUGCUUCUCUGGGUAACGUCACUGACGUCAAAGUCUGUGGAGCAAAUGAUGGCAAAAUCGGAGCAGAAAACCAGUAUGACAUCAAAGGGGGACUGGGAGAUUGUUCCAGUAUUGGAAACGUUUCUGUGGUCAGUGUUGGUGAAAACUCAGGCACCAUUGGUGCCGGCAACAAGAUCAACAUCAGCUGAGGAACUUGCCCCUCAAUAAAUGGACAACUCUUCUAAGAAUUAUGUUUUUUGGCUAAUAAUUGAAAUGCCUUAGUAUAAGUAGUAGUAGUAGAGGUGGUUGUUGUUGUAUCAGUAGCAGUAGUAGGAAUAUGUUUUAGCAAAUGUUUAACUCGUGAUUUCAAACUAGCAAAAAUUACUCUUUCAUGAGCUGAAUGUAAAAAAAGUUUCAAUAAAAAUAAA